Molecule: long non-coding RNA, 574 nt
Filed under: Triticum aestivum (bread wheat)
Lineage: Eukaryota; Viridiplantae; Streptophyta; Magnoliopsida; Poales; Poaceae
Description: long non-coding RNA (TAES_LNC013110)
Source: RNAcentral
CUAUCUGCCAAAUCUUUGUAUUCUUGCUGCUGAGAAUAAUGUGCAAUUUUAGGUACCUGAGAAUGCAAAUUAACUAAAUGUUUCAGAACUGAUUGUUUCAGAAUAGUUAGCCUCUCUGUUUUUGUUUCAUGAUGCAUCUGAUUUUUCUUUUGCUUACAGGAAAUCAUCUAUGGCUAUCUAUGAUGUCUGCAUAUUUGGACAGGUGCUUCCAGAACUGGCAUCAUACACCAAUUCUAGCAUACGAAAUGGAGGUGGUGCAGCAGAUAGUCACAUACCUUUGACUAGCCAAAAGCACUUUUAUCACCAGGUUUCUUUCUUCAUUUUGUUCUUCCUGCUGAUAGAUCUGAGAUCUGGGUUUCAAUUUGAGGAUCAUCCAUUUUUUGCUAACAGAUCUGUGAUCUCUCUAUGGAAGAGAGAGAACUAAACCCUGGGGAUUGGAGGAGAAGUACGCACUGAGAGAGAAUCGUCAGCACAAAUUGAUCAGAAUUAUCAUAAGACAGGAGGAGAUCUGAGGUCUAUUUCCCCUUACCAUGGUGGCGGCUGGAUGGGAGACGAGGAAGAAAGCAGAGUCACA